RNAcentral lists this ribosomal RNA (253 nucleotides) under uncultured bacterium. Its description in RNAcentral is "partial 16S ribosomal RNA". It matches the Rfam family "Bacterial small subunit ribosomal RNA", at positions 524 to 776 of the family's 1533-position model. The record is from RNAcentral.
UACGGAGGGGACUAGCGUUGUUCGGAAUUACUGGGCGUAAAGCGCACGUAGGCGGAUUUGUAAGUCAGGGGUGAAAUCCCGGGGCUCAACCUCGGAACUGCCUUUGAUACUGCAAAUCUCGAGUCCGGAAGAGGUGAGUGGAAUUCCUAGUGUAGAGGUGAAAUUCGUAGAUAUUAGGAAGAACACCAGUGGCGAAGGCGGUGCUCUGGGCCGGAACUGACGCUGAGGAGCGAAAGCGUGGGGAGUAAACAGG